AGAAUCAACGCUGGCGGCGUGCCUAACACAUGCAAGUCGAACGAGAAAGUGGAGCAAUCCAUGAGUAAAGUGGCGCACGGGUGAGUAACACGUGACUAACCUACCCUUGAGUGGGGGAUAACUGAGGGAAACCUUAGCUAAUACCGCAUAAUACCUACGGGUCAAAGGAGCAAUUCGCUUAAGGAGGGGGUCGCGGCAGAUUAGCUAGUUGGCGGGGUAAUGGCCCACCAAGGCAGUGAUCUGUAUCCGGCCUGAGAGGGCGCACGGACACACUGGAACUGAAACACGGUCCAGACUCCUACGGGAGGCAGCAGUGGGGAAUUUUGCGCAAUGGGGGAAACCCUGACGCAGCAACGCGCGUGGAGGAUGAAGUCCCUUGGGACGUAAACUCCUUUCGACCGGACGAUAAUGACGGUACCGGAAGAAGAAGCCCGGCUAACUUCGCGCCAGCAGCCGC
Molecule: ribosomal RNA, 457 nt
Filed under: uncultured bacterium
Lineage: Bacteria
Description: SSU rRNA
Rfam family: Bacterial small subunit ribosomal RNA
Source: RNAcentral